GAUGAACGCUGGCGGCGUGCCUAAUACAUGCAAGUCGAGCGAACAGACGAGGAGCUUGCUCCUCUGACGUUAGCGGCGGACGGGUGAGUAGCACGUGGAUAACCUACCUAUAAGACUGGGAUAACUUCGGGAAACCGGAGCUAAUACCGGAUAAUAUAUUGAACCGCAUGGUUCAAUAGUGAAAGACGGUUUUGCUGUCACUUAUAGAUGGAUCCGCGCCGCAUUAGCUAGUUGGUAAGGUAACGGCUUACCAAGGCAACGAUGCGUAGCCGACCUGAGAGGGGGAUCGGCCACACUGGAGCUGAGACACGGUCCAGACUCCGACGGGAGGCAGCAGUAGGGAAGCUUCCGCAGUGGGCGAAAGCCUGACGGAGCAACGCAGCGUGAGUGAUGAAGGGCUUCGGAUCGUAAAACGCUGUUAUUAGGGAAGAACAAAUGUGUAAGUAACGAUGCACGUCUGGACGGUACCUAAUCAGAAAGCCACGGCUAACUACGU
Molecule: ribosomal RNA, 496 nt
Filed under: uncultured bacterium
Lineage: Bacteria
Description: partial 16S ribosomal RNA
Rfam family: Bacterial small subunit ribosomal RNA
Source: RNAcentral